This 5557-nucleotide unclassified non-coding RNA is filed under the name Ceratitis capitata (Mediterranean fruit fly). RNAcentral describes it as "zinc finger MYM-type protein 4, transcript variant X3". Lineage: Eukaryota; Metazoa; Arthropoda; Insecta; Diptera; Tephritidae. The record is from RNAcentral.
UUUUCCACUGAAGAAUACAGCCACACUGUUGGAAAUUUAUAGUUAUGUUUCUGGCAAAGCCGAUAAAAGUUAAUGUGUAAGGUUUGCUUAUUAUAUAAAUAUUCAACAGUCGUAAUUCAAUGGAGGAAAUCUCAAGUUUAGACUCAUUUCACACUGACGCCGAAUCAAGCGCUCGACCAGAAUCUGAGCCUCCUAAAAUAGACGAAGAUACAUCGCAAACUUCGAUGGAUAAAGUAGUUGAAGGUGAUGUCACUAAAGAUACCGAAGAAGGUAAUAACGAUGAAGACUUUGAGCAGAUUUCCGAUGGGUCUUUUGAAGUAGACGAAAAUUCAAAUGGGACAUCUUCAGGGCCACCCAAAGAUGAUGGAAAUAGUUCACAAGACAAGCUGGCCAGCGGUGAGGGUGAAGAGUGCGUUUUGGAAGAGAAUAAAACACCAGAGACAACGGAACAUAAGUCACAAGAAUCCACCGAUUUUGAAGCAGUAGAUGCAAAUGUAUCCGGUGGUGGCCACAAUGCUGCUGCUGAUGAAUCGGAUAUGUUGGGUGAGGCAGAUAUGACCUUACCAACCCAGGAUGAAGAAUUAGAUGCACCUGUGGAAUCAGCUGACAGAUCAGAUGAAGUUAUGGAUGUAGAUAAGGUUUUAGAUAAUCAAGCAGUUAGUGGUACCACAAUUGAAGCAGAUGCAACCGCAGAUGUAGAUAUGCCAUCUGUUAGUAACUCGCCAGCUGCGAAUUCAGCGACUCAAGUUGUUAAUGAAAAUGAAAAUGAUAAAUCGGUUGAGGAAGAAUGUCUUGACAUUAACGCCGAACAACAUGACGUAAGCAUGGAAGCACUGGAAGAGGAUGAAGCUGAAAACAACAGUGGUAAAGGUGAUGCCAUUGAAGAGAGUGUCGACCACGAAGUGGAUACAAAUGAUGAAGUGGAUAAUAACAAUGAGGAAGGGGACAUUGCAACUGACGGAGGGGCUGAUCCAGGAAAACAAAAGGAAACAGAUGAAGACGAGGCCGAUACAGCGGAGAAAGUUUCAGACGCCAGAGCGGGUGAAGAAAUUGAACCAGAACGAGAAGAUGAACCAGUUGAAAAUGUACAAGAACCGGAGGAUUCAGACAUAUGUCUUAUACCAGAUGAUCCGGAGAGCGAAGUAACAGAGGCAGAAAAGGAGCAAGCAAUUCUGGCGCGCGAGAAUGCCGAAAAAGAGGAUGCAGAGGCGGAAGCGGAAGCAGAAGCAGAAAAAGGAAAAGGAAAGGAAGUAGAAGAUGCAGCAGCUGUUGAAUUAGAUGAUAUUUCGGGCGAAAAGCAGAAUUCGACUUCAAUGGAGGGUGAUACCUCUCCAAUUGAUAGUACUGUCGAAGCCGAAGCUCAAGCUGAUUCAGCUGGAGCUGAAGCCCCUAACGCUGAUAAUGGCAGCAGCGAAGAACCACUUCCAGCUACAACCGAGGAAGCUGCUGAACCAAACGAUGCUGAUGAACCAUUGUUGGAAGAAAUGCAAACUAGCACUUCUGAAGCGGGCUCUACACCAAAAAUUAUUAUUGCAUGGAUUAUUUCGUCAACGCAGAAGUGUGUACAGUGCGAUGUCGAGAAAGUUUGUGGUUUCCGAUAUAAAAAUCCAGAUAAUGGUAAAUUUGAAUAUUUAUGCGAACAAGAAUGUUGCGAUGCUAUUUUGUCUGCAAAUCCCGGCAAGUAUUUUAUACGUCGAAAGAAAUUUCUUAUAGAGGAGUUGAUAAAUGAAAAAAAGGAUGCUGACUCAAAUGAAAAAGUUGUCGACGGAAGUGGUGACGGUGACGGUGACGAAAAGUCCACCGAGAUAGAGAAUAAUCCACACUCCCACUCGUGUUUACAAUGCAAGGAAGUCAAGUCUUGUAAAUAUUUCUUUCGUCAAGAUGACGAACAACACUAUAUAUGUAGCGAUAUUUGCUACAACCUGUUAAAUUCGGAAGAGCCUGAUAAAUUCAAAUUAAAACGACAUUCAAUAAGAGUACGAAAUAUUGGUUCUAAUUUAACAACAACAAUGUCACCAACAACAGCAUCCUCCGGAUCAAACGCUAAUGCAGCAACUGGAACUAAAACAAAAACUCCCCGAGAAACAGGUGUUGUUGCUCGUACUUCAGCGGAAGCGGAAGCAGCCCGUUUGGAGCGAAAUGCCAGUUUUAUGAGGCGAUGUGCAGAAUGUUUCAAUGAAGUUACAUUAGGGGACAAAAAUUUGUUAUGGGAGACCAUGGACUUUUGCAACGAAAUUUGUCUUGGAAAGUACCAACGUACAAUUGGCGCAAAUUGUCAAACGUGUCAUGGAGAAGUACCCCAUCCAGCUCUCGGAAAGUAUUGUGUCCGUUUUGGUUUUGAUAUUCGCCAAUUCUGCUGCGCAGCAUGUCUAAAUGAAUUCAAAAAAGGCUUGAAAACCUGUUCAUGCUGUCAAAAAGAUAUUUCAUCAGGCAGUGAAGGUUUCCUUGCACCAGUUGGUGAUAAGGAACAGUUCAAGGAUUUCUGUUCACAGGCAUGUAUGCGUCGUUACGAUAGCAUGUGUAAUCCUAAAAAGAAACUUCGUAAUGAUACUUGCGCAGUAUGUAAUAAUGAUAAACCUGUUCGUGUGGAAAUCAUGCUAGAUGGAAAGGAACAUAAUUUUUGCUCAAAUCCUUGCUUUUCAGCUUUUAAAUUCGUAAGCAAUAUUGUUGCCGACCAGUGCGCAAUGUGUUCGAAAUACUUUGAACGUAAAGGCGCUGAAUCUUUUACCAUAUAUACAGAAAGACGAACUAAAGUAUUCUGCACACGUGUUUGUCUUAAUGUGUAUAUAAUCGUUAAUAGGCGAAUUGUCUCUUGUCAAUGGUGCAAAGUGAAAAAGUACAAUUUCGAUAUGAUAUACAAACAGCAGGACGCACAAGAAAUACUUAUGUGCUCUUUAAAUUGUUUAACAUUGUAUGGCGUAUCUAUAAAUGCCUUUUCGCGUACUGUUGCAAAUUGCGACAAUUGUAAUACAUCUGCCACACCGCAAUACCACCUCACCAUGUCGGAUGCCUCAAUGCGUAAUUUCUGCACAUAUCAGUGUGUAAUGCAGUUCCAGAGUCAAUUUGCACGUGCUCCCCUCACUUUGGAAAACGACUCGCCCUCAACACAACAGACACCUACAGUAGGUCAGACAGGGUCCAAUAAGAACAAUGUUCCAUUUCCUACAGGUCUACCAAAAAGGGUUAAAUUGAAGUUUCCGCAACAACCCAAGCAGCAAAUUCAGAUUAAACUUCCUACAAAAACAACGAUAUCGAAUAAAAAGGGCCCUACAAUGCCUGUUAUAUCAACGGUAUCAUCUUUGGCAAGCGGUGAAACUGAAACAAUGAUAGGCAAUGUAACAGUCCGUCGGGGUAGAAUUAGGGGACGUAAAGUAGAUUCACCACCUCCAUUACCAGCAAUACCUGCAACUACAACAACUAAUGCCAUCUCCAGAGGUCGACCAAGAAAACAAGUAGAUUAUGCUGUCUCUCCAUCUCCUCCACCUUUGGAGAUUCCCACUUCAACGGCAAAAUCUGUUGGAAAGAGAGGACAAGGCACUUCAGUUUCCACUCAUGUUGAAAAGGGCGUGGGAGAAACCAGAAUUAUCGCUGUACCACCUUAUCCACCUGCUGUUCGUAAUGUGCAGACCAGUUGCAAACCGCAAACUGUUACAGUUGGUUUUCAAACUACACCGAACACAACGAACGCAGCUACACAAACUGGCAAGGACUACUCGAACAAGGUGCUAAUACCAGUGCCUGUGCCAAUCUAUGUACCACAGCCUAUGUACAUGUAUUCUGCACCGUUUCCUGUGCCAGUGCCUAUCCCAUUACCUAUACCCGUACCAAUUUUCAUACCAACAACAAGGAAUUCUGCACAGGGAAUACUUAAGGAAAUAAAAAAAAUACAGGAUAAAAUGCCAGCUGAUCCAUUUGAAGCUGAGCUGCUUAUGAUGGCUGAAAUGGUAGCUGAAGAAAAGCACGAAUCUGAUUCGGAUUCUGAAGAUGAGGUUAAAACUGAGCCAAGUUUGGUUCCAAUCCAAUAUAAUAAUGAUGUGCAACCUGUUGAGGUCGCAAACAAUUCAUAUGGCGAAGAAGUACUACAGAUGGCAUUAAAAAUGGCAACUGGAGAGUAUGAUCAACCUGCAGUAGAUCUUGAAUCAGCAAUGUCGGCAAAUGAAAUAACAAAUCCACCACCAGGAAUGGUUGGACAUGAUGACUCUAUGAGUCACAUGAGUGCACAUCAUAUGCAGCAACAACCACACCAUGUAAUGGAACCGCAACGUGCUGGACGCGGACGCAAAAGAGGUGGCUUAACUUCGCCAGUAUCGCCACGCAGCAAUAAUCGAUCGCCAGUGAAACGUUCUAGACUUGAUAUAGAACCUGCACAACCACCGCCACAACCUGUACAACCUGUGGAGAAACCCGAUGCAAAUAUGUGUCUGAAGUAUACCUUCGGCGUGAAUGCCUGGAAACAAUGGGUAAUGACUAAGAAUGCCGACAUCGAAAAGAGUACGACAAGGCGUCGGCCGUUUAAAACGGAGCUUUUGCAAAUGACCGCCGAUGAAUUGAACUAUUCAUUGUGUCUAUUUGUUAAGGAAGUGCGAAAACCAAAUGGCACAGAAUAUGCUCCAGAUACCAUCUACUAUUUGGUGUUAGGUAUUCAGCAAUAUCUGUAUGAAAAUGGGCGAAUAGAUAAUAUUUUCACGGAUCCCUAUUAUGAACGUUUUACCGAUUGUCUGGAUGAGGUGGCUCGUAAAUUUUCUGUCCUCUACAACGAUUCUCAAUACAUAGUUACCCGUGUCGAAGAGGAACAUUUAUGGGAAUGCAAGCAACUGGGUGCUCAUUCACCACAUGUUUUACUCAGUACACUUAUGUUCUUUAAUACAAAACAUUUCAAUUUAACGACUGUAGAAGAGCACAUGCAAUUAUCGUUCUCUCAUAUAAUGAAGCAUUGGAAACGUUCAGCACAAAAUGCUAAAAUGCCCGGCACAAGAAAUGUAUUAUUACGAUUUUAUCCUCCACAAGCUGGUCUUGAUGCUAAUCCACGAAAGAAAAAAGUUUACGAACAACAGGAGAACGAAGAAAAUCCUUUACGUUGCCCGGUUCGUCUAUAUGAAUUCUAUCUUUCUAAAUGUCCGGAAAGUGUAAAAACGCGAAAUGAUGUAUUCUAUUUACAACCUGAACGUUCUUGUGUGCCCGAUUCACCAGUCUGGUACUCGACACAAGCGCUGAGUCAGGAAUCUCUUCAAAAGAUGUUACAUCGGGUCAAGAUGGUUAAGGAGAUCAACAUUGCACUGCUGACGAGUUAAUACGAUAUGGUUUUGCCAACCAGCAGCAGCAUCAGCAGCACAUCUAAUACUAACAUCCCUAACACUUAUAGUCAUAGUCGCAGCCAAUCAAAUCAGCACCAGCAUUCGGCGCUGCAGACGGCCAUAAAUGCGUUGCGCUGUUUGUUUCCACCUCUUGGCGACUAUUUCAGCACUGUUCGUUGAUCUACUCAGCAAGUCAGUUUCUAAGAAUUAAGUGAGAAUAUAUAAUUGGUACAGAUUUGCUAUAACUGAUAAAAAAAAAAAAA